CUUCUGGCAGUUCCCUCAAUGCGAGAUGUGAGGUUUGGACUGGUCAGUUCAAGACGGCUCUACCACACCCAGAACCAUGUGCAUACUGUUGCCAAGCCUGGAUAGCCUAGAUAGCUCAGUUGGUUAGAGCGCGAUGCCAAGGUAGCAGGUUUUAUCCCCAUAUGGGACACUUGCAUAUUCCUGCAUUGCAGUGGGUUGCACUAGAUGAUUCUUAGGGUCUUCCAGCUCUACGAUUCUAUAUUUCUAUGCUUUUCAGUAUGAAAAUUGAGGAUUGGGUGCAGGGCAAAUCACCCUUGUACUUUUGUUGUUGUAUGGUCCAGGCAAAGUUAAGCACUUUAACCAACCCUUGGGAAAACUACAUCUCACAUGAUCCUUCAGCUUUUGCACCUCUUGUGCAGCUGUUACCUGGCACUGAAGGGAGAUGGAGGGAAAAACAUGAAAGGGAUGAAUCAUUUUUCAAUUCUCCCUGCACACCUACUAAGUAAAUUUAGCUGUGCAUUUUGAGGAUCAGGCCUUUUAGAAACACUGAAGAACUUGCUAUGCAUAGGAAUGAAAACUGCAUCGCGUACUCCAAAAAAAUAAAUUGUGUGUGAGUGUGUGGGAUUCCAUAGCUAGGUGAUGCUUUGCUCCUUCUGCUUAUACAUGGAUAAAUCUCUGUGUUUGACUGAGCUGAGGUUUGCCUGUGGAAAGAUUUCAGGUAGCAAAGAGAGAGAUUACGGUGUGCCUGGCUAAGGGAUAAUAUAAGUUAACAUGACAGAGUCAAAGCUUUUGCUUGAUUAUUUUCCACUGGAAACACAGCUGGCAUGACUUUUUGUUUGAGUGGCCUGUUGCUCAGUCGUGCAGACAGCAUCCCUUAGGCUCCUUGUAAGCUCAUUGCAGAGUUCAUGAAUAAAAGGGUUGUUUUCUUAAAGGUGUCAGUCGGAAAAAUUGCAAUGUGAUCCUGCUGUAAUGUGCAUACUUCAAAACUGGAAAUCAAGUAUAAGCCAAGUUUUAUGAUGGUGGUUUAAGAAAAUAUUUUUAAAUUAUUUCUAAACAAAUUGUAUAUCAGGGACCUGAUUCGUCAACUAGGAGGUCUGGAGAGAUGUAAAUGCAACAAUUGCAAUCUUUGAGUCAUAGUUUAAAUUCAUCAGUGCAGAUGAUAAAUCAAAGAAAUUAUAGUCAAAGAAGUCAAGGCUGUAAUCCUAUACCCAUGCAUAGGUUUGCAAUCCAGUAACACAUUCCUGAGAGUAAAGUCAUAAUGAAGUCAAACAUGAGGUGCCCGUGAAAGUUCAAAGGGUAUUGCUAUAACCAACCAUUAGCUGAGAGAUAGCAACAGGGACUUCGUUUGAAAGUGCGCUCUCAGAGCCAAUUAGAUGAUUGGCAGUGGAAGCACCCCUUCAAAGAGGCAUGUCCUAUUAUUAUUAUUUUAAUUUAUCUACUGCCUUUCAUCCAGGGGUUACAGGGCAGUUUAGAGUAGAAAAAAGCGUGUUCUCCUUCAUGGAGAGCACGUGUUGCGGUGGGGGCCUCCAGGACACUCCAAAGUUGGGGGCGGGCUAAUUGAUCGUUGGCCACUGAUGCGAUUGGGGCUUCCCUUGUUGUUGGGAAGAAGUUAAUGUUGCCAUUUGUUGAUUGACAGCCAGAAAUGCUAAAACUCCUUGCACAGGUUAGGGCUUCCUCUUUUCGCCCGUGCAUCGGAUUGCCCGUCUCCCCCCCCCCCCUAGAAUUAGGGUUGUUCGCUUUGACCUUGCUAUGCCUGUCAUGGGAUCGUCUGCUCUUGGGGCAGGGGCCCGGUAGGAAUUUUGUCCAUCUGGCUGAUUGGCUGGGGCCAUUUGGUUUUUGCCUACUGUGUAGCAAAUCGUCACAACUUGUAAGGUUGCGGUUAGGCAUUGGUUUAUGGUUUGGUUGGUUGAGGGGCAUGGAUUGGCUGUGCCUGCCCCUCUAAUGCUGCUGCUGCAAGGGAUUCCGUUAAAGGAAUCAGGGGCUAACUAUUGCUUGUCCACUCUGUCAAGGGGGCUCGGGCCAUAGCAAUGAGCUCCUGGUUGCAUUUGGGGAGGGCUGAGGGCAGGUUCCCUACUCCGUCGCUACCCCGAAGUGUAUUCCCCUUUUCUGACUUUCGCAUUGUGUGGAAUGUCAGUCUGUCCCCCAUGGUGGGGGCAAAUAGUCGCAACCAAUGCCUAAGCAACCACUCACAUUUUUGUAUUUUAAUAAAGUUGUGGCCAAAAUUAUGCCAAAAACCUUAAACAAAAAAUUCUGUGUGAUGUGUGAGUUAUUGGGGUGGCCCUGGGGACCUCGACAUGCAACACAAAAAUACAUAACAUAAUAGCAGACAAAACACAUACCCCUCCCCCCAGUUUAAAGGGCCAAUUCAAUUAGCUAAAGGCCCAGUGGCUAAAAAAUGCAAGGGAGGUGCCAGGUGAGUCUCCUUGGGGAGAGUGUUCCACAAACAGGGAGCCACCGCAGAAAAGGUCUGCCACCCUCUGGACCUCUCAUGGAGGAGGCACGUGAAGAAAGGCCUUAGAUGAUGAUGGCAGGGUCCAGGUUGAUACUGCUGCUGUAGGAGAGGGACUUUGAGCAACACCGUGGGACGGGGUGUUUCUAGAACUAAGGUGAAACUGUGAAGCUCCCUUGUCAUUUUUGCUAUUGCAUGCUACAUGGUGUGUAAGUAAUUUUGUUAUAUUUACAGUAUUGGAAUGUGAGUUUUUUUUGGUAUGUUGUUAUAUUUUCUGUUGUUUUGCUAUGCUAUAAAACCAUUGCUAUGUUAUUUUGAAAUUAUAUUUGCAGUGUUCGUUCGAAAUGCAUCCCUGCUUCUUUGUUGUAAGCUGCUUUGAGCACGAUUUCUUUUGUGGAAAAGUGUCAUACAAAUAGAUGAGUGAAUAUAGGGAGAGGCGGUCCUUGAGGUAUUGGGAUCCUGAGCAGUGUGAAGCAGAUUGCGUUGCAAUUGCUUGCACAAAUGAGCAGCGUUGUGUGUGUGAAAGGGCUCUGUCCUAGCAAGCAGUUUCAAUGCAAACUGCUUUGCACUAAUGGAGCUAGUCCCUUUGAAGGGGUGCCCAUGCUGAUCAUCAGCUGAUUGAUGGUGGAAGCACACCUUCAAAGGGGCUUGCUGCAUUAUCACAAAGGAGUUUGCAUUGCAUCCUCUUGUUAAGACAGUGCUCUCCCCAUUUUAGCAAGUGUUUCCAAUGCAAUCUGCUGUGUACUAAUGGAGCAACCCCCUUUGAAGGUGGAGUCCCACUGCCAAACAGCUGAUUGUCAGUGGGAGCAGCCCUUUAAGGAGGCAUGCUCCAUUAGCACACAGCAGAUUGCAUUGAAAACGUUUGCUAAAAUUGAGCUCCCCUCCCUCUGUGCAGUGUAAAGCGUACUAGACCAGAUGAACAAACAGGCUGGUGUAGUCUAAGGCAGCUUCUUAUGGGAGCUUGGAAGUCUGUGAUUCACUCUUAGCUCCCACUGCUGUAAUUUGGGGGUUAAUGAGCUCCCCUUAAGAUCUGUUGUGAGGAUGAGUGAGAAAAUACAUGUGAAAUGCUGAGUAGGCUCUCAGAAAAGUAACUGUAUAAAAAUAGUGCUCACAAAUCUUUAGUAAAUUGAUUAUAUUUAUUAAAUUUAUAGCCCAGCCUUCCCAGACCCUCCAAGUGUCCCUAUUUUCCAGGGAGAAUCCUGGAUUUACAGAAGCUGUUCUGGUUUCUGGUUUGAUCCUGGAAUGCCCCACUUUUCCUUAGGACAUCCCUAUUUUCAUCAGAGAAAUGUUGGAAAAUAUGGAGUUAUCUGACCCCUCAAGCCAUCUGAAGGCAGACCUGUGUAGGGAAGUUUUUAAAUGUUUAAUGUUUUAUUAUGUGUGUGUGUGUGUGUGUGUGUGUGUCCAUGUGUAUCUCUCUCUCUCUCUCUAUCAUCUAUCUACCUAUAUAUAGCUUCCCAGAGUGGCUGGGGCAACCCAUUCAGAUGGGCAGGGUAUAAAUAGUAAAAUUAUUGUUAUUAUUAUUAUGGAACAGGGCAUCCUUAUUUUCAUUGGAGAAAUGUUGGAGGGUAUGUCUUCUUCUCAAAGGAGCCCAUGGCAGAAAACAACAAGUGAUAAAACAAUAGAUUCAUAUUAAGAACAAUCCCAAUGCAGGCUGGGAAAUAUCUCAACUUAGAAGGCUUUUGGAAGAGGAAGGUGCC
Molecule: non-coding RNA, 4125 nt
Organism: Podarcis lilfordi (Lilford's wall lizard)
Lineage: Eukaryota; Metazoa; Chordata; Lepidosauria; Squamata; Lacertidae
Source: the annotation of a GenBank genome assembly